This 254-nucleotide ribosomal RNA is filed under the name uncultured bacterium. RNAcentral's name for it is "partial 16S ribosomal RNA". It matches the Rfam family "Bacterial small subunit ribosomal RNA", at positions 524 to 776 of the family's 1533-position model. The record is from RNAcentral.
UACGUAGGGUCCGAGCGUUGUCCGGAAUUAUUGGGCGUAAAGGGCGCGUAGGCGGCUGUGCAAGUGGCGGGUGAAAAUCCCUCGGCUUAACCGAGGAACUGCCUGCCAGACUGCACGGCUCGAGACCGGGAGAGGUGAGUGGAAUUCCCAGUGUAGCGGUGAAAUGCGUAGAUAUUGGGAGGAACACCAGUGGCGAAGGCGGCUCACUGGACCGGAACUGACGCUGAGGCGCGAAAGCGUGGGGAGCAAACAGG